ACGGAAGGCAGCAGUGGGGAAUAUUGCACAAUGGGCGAAAGCCUGAUGCAGCGACGCCGCGCGAGUGAAGAAGUAUCUCGGUAUGUAAAGCUCUAUCAGCAGGGAAGAAAAUGACGGUACCUGACUAAGAAGCCCCGGCUAACUACGUGCCAGCAGCCGCGGUAAUACGUAGGGGGCAAGCGUUAUCCGGAUUUACUGGGUGUAAAGGGAGCGUAGACGGUUUGGCAAGUCUGAAGUGAAAUGCGGGGGCUCAACUCCUGAACUGCUUUGGAAACUGUCGAACUAGAGUGCAGGAGAGGUAAGUGGAAUUCCUAGUGUAGCGGUGAAAUGCGUAGAUAUUAGGAGGAACACCAGUGGCGAAGGCGGCUUACUGGACUGUAACUGACGUUGAGGCUCGAAAGCGUGGGGAGCAAACAGGAUUAGAUACCCUGGUA
RNAcentral lists this ribosomal RNA (434 nucleotides) under uncultured Lachnospiraceae bacterium. Its description in RNAcentral is "partial 16S ribosomal RNA". It matches the Rfam family "Bacterial small subunit ribosomal RNA", at positions 341 to 792 of the family's 1533-position model. The record is from RNAcentral. Lineage: Bacteria; Bacillati; Bacillota; Clostridia; Lachnospirales; Lachnospiraceae.